CCAGUAGGGAAUUCUUGGGCAAUGGGGGCAACCCUGACCGAGCAACGCCGCGUGAGUGAAGAAGGUUUUCGGAUCGUAAAGCUCUGUUGUAAGAGAAGAACUGUGAGAAGAGUGGAAAGUUUCUCACUUGACGGUAUCUUACCAGAAAGGGACGGCUAACUACGUGCCAGCAGCCGCGGUAAUACGUAGGUCCCGAGCGUUGUCCGGAUUUAUUGGGCGUAAAGCGAGCGCAGGCGGUUUGAUAAGUCUGAAGUAAAAGGCUGUGGCUUAACCAUAGUACGCUUUGGAAACUGUCAAACUUGAGUGCAGAAGGGGAGAGUGGAAUUCCAUGUGUAGCGGUGAAAUGCGUAGAUAUAUGGAGGAACACCGGUGGCGAAAGCGGCUCUCUGGUCUGUAACUGACGCUGAGGCUCGAAAGCGUGAGGAGCGAACAGGAUUAGAUACCCUGGUAGUCCACGCCGUAAACGAUGAGUGCUAGGUGUUGGGUCCUUUCCGGGACUCAGUGCCGCAGCUAACGCAUUAAGCACUCCGCCUGGCGAGUACGACCGCAAGGUUGAAACUCAGAGGAAUUGACGGGUGCCCGCACAAGCGGUGGAGCAUGUGGUUUAAUUCGAAGCAACGCGAAGAACCUUACCAGGUCUUGACAUCUCUCUGACCGUCCUAGAGAUAGGGUUUCUCUUCGGAGCAUAGGUGACAGGUGGUGCAUGGUUGUCGUCAGCUCGUGUCGUGAGAUGUUGGGUUAAGUCCCGCAACGAGCGCAACCCCUAUUGUUAGUUGCCAUCAUUUAAUUGGGCACUCUAGCGAGACUGCCGGUAAUAAACCGGAAGAAAGGGGGGGAUGACGUCAAAUCAUCAUGCCCCUUAUGACCUGGGCUACACACGUGCUACAAUGGCUGGUACAACGAGUCGCAAGUCGGUGACGGCAAGCUAAUCUCUUAAAGCCAGUCUCAGUUCGGAUUGUAGGCUGCAACUCGCCUACAUGAAGUCGGAAUCGCUAGUAAUCGCGGAUCAGCACGCCGCGGUGAAUACGUUCCCGGGCCUUGUACACACCGCCCGUCACACCACGAGAGUUUGUAACACCCGAAGUCGGUGAGGUAACCUUUUAGGAGCCAGCCGCCUAAGGUGGAAGAA
RNAcentral lists this ribosomal RNA (1129 nucleotides) under Streptococcus suis. Its description in RNAcentral is "bacterial SSU rRNA". It matches the Rfam family "Bacterial small subunit ribosomal RNA", at positions 351 to 1470 of the family's 1533-position model. The record is from RNAcentral. Lineage: Bacteria; Bacillati; Bacillota; Bacilli; Lactobacillales; Streptococcaceae.